This is a long non-coding RNA of Myotis brandtii (Brandt's bat), 324 nucleotides long. RefSeq lists it as uncharacterized. NCBI's taxonomy places the organism in Eukaryota, Metazoa, Chordata, Mammalia, Chiroptera, Vespertilionidae. The record is from RefSeq and is a predicted model, not a curated record. The transcript is spliced from 2 exons.
CCACCCCUUCUAUACGGUACCUGACUGCCAGGGACUGCCCACCCGGGGGCGUUGUGCCACCACCGCUGCCCAUCUGUCUCCGAGCCCCGCGGGACUACCGUGGCAGCCCUGAAUUUGGUUGUAUUCAGAUAAAACUUUUCGUGCACCUCGGGAACUAACAUUGUGUGUGCCUCUUUCUUUUCCUGUUACGCCGUCAAGGCAGGGGGCAGUGAGGGGAAUGGCUCAGCCCUCUCAUUCCCGGAACGUAGUCGAUCUCCGCUCAGCGGAGUUCACAGAACACUCUCUGCCUAUCGCCGGCUCCAACGAGAAGUAACUUUCCAGGAA